UACAGAGGUCUCAAGCGUUGUUCGGAUUCAUUGGGCGUAAAGCGCGUGUAGGCGGCCAGAUAAGUCCGCUGUGAAAUCUCGAGGCUCAACUUCGAGCUGUCGGUGGAAACUGUCUGGCUAGAGUCCGGAAGAGGAGAAUGGAAUUCCUGGUGUAGCGGUGAAAUGCGCAGAUAUCAGGAAGAACACCCGUGGCGAAGGCGGUUCUCUGGGACGGUACUGACGCUGAGACGCGAAAGCGUGGGGAGCAAACGGG
This 253-nucleotide ribosomal RNA is filed under the name uncultured bacterium. RNAcentral describes it as "partial 16S ribosomal RNA". It matches the Rfam family "Bacterial small subunit ribosomal RNA", at positions 524 to 776 of the family's 1533-position model. The record is from RNAcentral.